RNAcentral lists this ribosomal RNA (468 nucleotides) under uncultured bacterium. RNAcentral's name for it is "partial 16S ribosomal RNA". It matches the Rfam family "Bacterial small subunit ribosomal RNA", at positions 28 to 507 of the family's 1533-position model. The record is from RNAcentral.
GACGAACGCUGGCGGCGUGCUUAACACAUGCAAGUCGAACGGAAAGGCCCUGCUUUCGUGGGGUGCUCGAGUGGCGAACGGGUGAGUAACACGUGAGUAACCUGCCCUUGACUUUGGGAUAACUUCAGGAAACUGGGGCUAAUACCGGAUAGGAGCCCCUGCUGCAUGGUGGGGGUUGGAAAGUUUCGGCGGUUGGGGAUGGACUCGCGGCUUAUCAGCUUGUUGGUGGGGUAGUGGCAUACCAAGGCUUUGACGGGUAGCCGGCCUGAGAGGGUGACCGGCCACAAUGCGACUGAGAUACGGCCCAGACUCCAACGGGAGGCAGCAGUGGGGAAUAUGGCACAAUGAGCGGAAGCGUGAUGCAACAACGCCGCGUGCGGGAUGACGGCCUUCGGGUUGUGAACCGCUUUCGCCUGUGACGAAGCGUGAGUGACGGUAAUGGAUAAAGAAGCACCGGCUAACUACGUG